UAAUACGGAGGAUGCGAGCGUUAUCCGGAUUCAUUGGGUUUAAAGGGUGCGUAGGCGGCUUUUUAAGUCAGUGGUGAAAUCCUGCAGCUUAACUGUAGAAUUGCCAUUGAUACUGAAGAGCUUGAAUAUAGUUGAGGUAGGCGGAAUGUGCAGUGUAGCGGUGAAAUGCUUAGAUAUUGCACAGAACACCGAUUGCGAAGGCAGCUUACUAAAUUAUUAUUGACGCUGAGGCACGAAAGCGUGGGGAUCGAACAGG
Molecule: ribosomal RNA, 256 nt
Filed under: uncultured bacterium
Lineage: Bacteria
Description: partial 16S ribosomal RNA
Rfam family: Bacterial small subunit ribosomal RNA
Source: RNAcentral